GAUGAACGCUAGCUACAGGCUUAACACAUGCAAGUCGCGGGGCAGCAUGGGGGUUGCUUGCAAUCCCCGAUGGCGACCGGCGCACGGGUGAGUAACGCGUAUCCAACCUGCCCUUCACCACGGGAUAACCCGGCGAAAGUCGGACUAAUACCGUAUGUUGUCCAUUGACGGCCUCCGAUUUGGACGAACGGUUUGGCGGUGAAGGAUGGGGAUGCGUCCGAUUAGCUGGACGGCGGGGUGACGGCCCACCGUGGCGACGAUCGGUAGGGGUUCUGAGAGGAAGGUCCCCCACACGGGAACUGAGACACGGUCCAGACUCCUACGGGAGGCAGCAGUGAGGAAUAUUGAUCAAUGGGCGUAAGCCUGAACCAGCCAAGUAGCGUGCAGGAUGACGGCCCUAUGGGUUGUAAACUGCUUUUAUGCGGGGAUAAAGUGGCCCACGUGUGGGUUUUUGCAGGUACCGCAUGAAUAAGGACCGGCUAAUUCCGUG
This 490-nucleotide ribosomal RNA is filed under the name uncultured bacterium. Its description in RNAcentral is "partial 16S ribosomal RNA". It matches the Rfam family "Bacterial small subunit ribosomal RNA", at positions 28 to 507 of the family's 1533-position model. The record is from RNAcentral.